UUGGAGGGCAAGUCUGGUGCCAGCAGCCGCGGUAAUUCCAGCUCCAAUAGCGUAUAUUAAAGUUGUUGCAGUUAAAAAGCUCGUAGUUGAAUUUCGAGACCGGCUUAUUGGUCGUGCUAUUGUACGUACUGGUAUAAUCGGUUUCUCCUUUCUGACGAACUUUAAUGCCAUUAAUUUGGUGUUUUAGGGAAUCAGGACUGUUACUUUGAAAAAAUUAGAGUGUUUAAAGCAGGCUCACGCUUGAAUACAUUAGCAUGGAAUAACGGAAUAGGACGUUUGAUUCUAUUUUGUUGGUUUCUAGGAUCGACGUAAUGAUUAAUAGGGAUAGUUGGGGGCAUUAGUAUUCAAUUGUCAGAGGUGAAAUUCUUGGAUUUAUUGAAGACUAACUACUGCGAAAGCAUUUGCCAAGGAUGUUUUCAUUAAUCAAGAACGAAAGUUAGGGGAUCGAAGACGAUCAGAUACCGUCGUAGUCUUAACCAUAAACUAUGCCGACUAGGGAUCGGAUGAUGUUAAUUUCUUAAUGACUCAUUCGGCGCCUUACGGGAAAC
This 548-nucleotide ribosomal RNA is filed under the name uncultured Glomeromycotina. RNAcentral describes it as "SSU rRNA". It matches the Rfam family "Eukaryotic small subunit ribosomal RNA", at positions 548 to 1098 of the family's 1831-position model. The record is from RNAcentral. Lineage: Eukaryota; Fungi; Glomeromycota.